Molecule: small RNA, 584 nt
Filed under: Pongo abelii (Sumatran orangutan)
Lineage: Eukaryota; Metazoa; Chordata; Mammalia; Primates; Hominidae
Description: retained intron
Source: RNAcentral
AGGCCUGGGGGAGCCAUGAACAGGGGCAUCUGGGACGGGCUUCAGGGUGCGGGUGGCGUGGGGUCCAGGGCCUCAACCCCGUGUGCCGCUUUCAGAGCCCAUCUGCGCUGUCGGCCACGGUGUCGCCGCCCUGUGCUGUGCCACCAACGAGGACAGAUCCUGGGUGUUCCACGGCUACAGCCUGACAGGGCCCUCUGUGUGUGAGCUCGUCAGGGCCCCCGGCUUCGCCCGCCUGCCGCUCGUGGUGGAGGACUUCGUGAAGGAUUCAGGCGCCUGCUUCAGUGCAAGUGAGCCUGACGCUGUGCACGUCGUGCUGGACCGCCACCUGGUCACGGGCCAGAAUGCCAGCUCCACUGUCCCGGCCGUGCAGAACCUGCUCUUCCUCUGUGGCAGCCGGAAAUGAACCUGCUGGGUCGAUGCACCCCCUGAGACAGCCCAGGUGUCUCAGGCUUCAGGGACCCCGCCUCUUCCCUCCUGACAAGGGCCCUGGAUGGCAGCCUGGUCUGGCCCUAAUGGGAUUGUUGGAGGCCUCCUGGAAUCAGCUCUGAGCGGGUGUCGGCUCUCCUGGAGGGUCCAAGCCCCCA